ACGAGCACGAGUUUUUUCCUUACCGAAAGGUUUGGGUAAUCUUGUUAAACUCUGUCGUGCUGGGGAUAGAGCAUUGCAAUUAUUGCUCUUCAACGAGGAAUUCCUAGUAAGCGCAAGUCAUCAGCUUGCGCUGAUUACGU
RNAcentral lists this ribosomal RNA (140 nucleotides) under uncultured eukaryote. Its description in RNAcentral is "partial 18S ribosomal RNA". It matches the Rfam family "Eukaryotic small subunit ribosomal RNA", at positions 1511 to 1650 of the family's 1831-position model. The record is from RNAcentral.